Long non-coding RNA from Hipposideros armiger (great roundleaf bat), 1591 nucleotides. RefSeq lists it as uncharacterized. Lineage: Eukaryota; Metazoa; Chordata; Mammalia; Chiroptera; Hipposideridae. The transcript has 3 exons. The record is from RefSeq and is a predicted model, not a curated record.
UAAGUUUCUACAUAUAAGUGAAAUCAUGGAAUUUGUCUUUCUCUGUAAAAUGAGCUUAAUUUUUUAAUUUGGCAAAGUGUGUAUUUUGGAUACCCUUCCCCCAUAGAAAACCAAUUAUAGCUUUCCAACAAGUAGCCCCAAAGAAAGAUAAAAUAUAGUUCAUUUUAGGAGGAAAAUAAGCAGGGCUAGUAAAUUAUAUUUGUUAAAUUAUUUUAUUGACAGUAGAAUGCUACAGAAUGCCACCCUCAUCCUAAAACAUACACAAACAUUCAGAGACCGGAAGAGGAAAGCCAGCAGGUGAUAUGGUCAAGCAGCCCUCCCAAUGUUAACACUUAGUAGGCUCUUCUUAAAUAUUGAAAGAAUGACUGCUCAGAAUUCUUUUGCUUCAAUAAUAUCAAAUAUAUAUUAAGUGUAGAAAAACCUGUAGAGAAGAUUAAGAGAUGAGUAAAGGUGUUAAAUGAAGACUUUUUUUCUUGCAGAGCAACAGAGUAAAGAAAUUAGGGAAGAGAAUGCCAAGGAAAACUAUUGAAACUUCAGAGAGCUUAAGGAAGACCUAAGGUGCUAAAUAAGAGAACAAACAGUGUUUCAGAAAGGAUGUCUCUUCACAUGGGCACAUUGCCUGAAAAGAUGCAAAGUAUCAACAGGACAUUAUUCUAAAUGGAAUUUGAAAAAGAAGAAAUUACAUAGAUUAAAUUCCAAAUGGAGAUUCUGAAACCAGUGAUGUUGAAUAACUUUCCCCAAGGUCAUGCAGCUGGUUGUUCUCAUAGAUUUGUAUCCUUUUCCCCUUAGUUGAAAACCUGACUCACGUCCCUAAAUUUAGCAUCCACUUGGUAAAUUCUGAGCCAGACCGUUAUCACUGCUAUAUUUUCCCAGUAGGUGGAUGAGCUCUUUUUCCUGCGCUGACUGCCCCACUCCCAAACACAUCUGUAGUGGACACAAACACAGUAAUCAGCCCUCCUCCCCUCUGCAUAGCUCCGUACCCCAUUCCAGAGUACAUUUUAAAAGCUUGCCUUUAAAGAACCUCAUAUGUUUUUCAGUCAUUGGCAAGAACGAAUCUUGAAUAUUACAAAACCAAAAUAUGUUGAGUAAAUUAAGACCCAUCUUCUCUGACAACACUUGGUCUAGGCAAUGAUUGCAAAAGCUCUGUCUCCAUUUUGUAAGAUGCCUCCUCUCUGAGUACACUUGCAAACAACUUGAUUUAGGAGUGUACUUCUGAUAUUAAUUUGACGAUUGCUGCUCCUGCCAUGGAGAAUUAGAGGCCUUUGGUCUUUAGGGCUUUUCAUCAGAUUGCCGUGUUCAAGAGCACUGUGUUGGCCUGUGAGAAAUGUUUAUCAUGACGUGUUCUCUCUCGGGAUCACAGCUUUCAAUCUUCUAAAGUGCAUUAGUCUCAGCACUUUGAUUUUUACAAGUUUUGAAUUUCUUGUUAUUGCCUUUUAAAAAAAAUACCUUUGCUUUCCUACAUAGAAUUUCUUAGAGUAAACAAAGGUGAAAUGGCAGCAUUUUUCACAGGAGUGUGGAUUUUUCUGACUGUGUGUGUGUGUGUGUGUGUGUGAGAGAGAGAGAGAGAGAAAAAGAGAGAGAGAGAGAGAAA